Delphinapterus leucas (beluga whale) is the source of this 2197-nucleotide non-coding RNA. The record is from RefSeq and is a predicted model, not a curated record. NCBI's taxonomy places the organism in Eukaryota, Metazoa, Chordata, Mammalia, Artiodactyla, Monodontidae.
UAUUCCUAUUUUUCAGGAGUACACACGAGUCCAGAAGAAGUUUGGACCUUGGGGCUUUCAGAGGAGUCAAGAGAGACAGAACGUCUGUGCAUCUGUGACACUUACGCAGAGCUUUGCAGUUUGUUGGAACCUGAGCAGAGUUCACUUCAGUGACAUUCAUUUCCCGGCAUGGAUCCUUCCUACGUACAUCCAUCCUUCCCCCUCCCUUCCCGGUUCAGCUCCUCCCCCAUCCUCCCCCGCACCUCCACCCGCUCCUACACAGAAAACUUGCUAGUGCCAGCUGAUUCUCACUGGCCACGGCAUGAAACUGGGCACAAACAGCUGCUGCCUUCCCUAGGGCCAGAAGUCUCCAAGCCUACUCACUGCUCCUGACUCCAAGAAAAAGGCCAGCCUCACUCACUCUGGGACUUAUCUUAUCCCCUUACCUUUGCUGACCACUCUGGACAUAACUCUUUGCCUGUGUCUCCCCGGUGCCCUGAAGAUCUCCACCAGAUGGAUGAAUAAAGGAGCAACAACAAGUACCACGCUGAAAAAAAAAAGAGAGAGGGAAUAGGUGUGCAGGAUAUUCUAAUUGUUUUGUACUUGCCUCUUGGAAGCAAGGCACUGUAUCCUAGUCUUUGUAAGUCCCCACCCUGCCCAACAUACACAGGGUCCAGCCCAAAGAACUGAGCAGAGCAGACCCACAGAUGUUAAAGAAUCAUAAAAACUUUCACAUGGCUGAGGAAAUGUGUAUAUACCUAGGCUGGCCAUUGUCAUGUGUCUCUGACAACACAGAUGAGUGGUUCAAGCCAUGUACAAGACCAGGCUCUGCCCUGAUCAGUUGUACGAUAUUGAGAAUAUCGUACAAUUCUAAUCUCUAGUUCUCAGUUUUCUCAUCCGUGAAAUGGGCAUGAUUAUACUUCUCUAGUUCUCAGUUUAAUCUCUCUAGCUCUCAGUUUUCUCAUCUGUAAAAUGGGCAUGAUUAUACUUCACAGAGGUCUAACGGAGCAGUACUGGCAGUGCUGAUCCUAUGUGAAUGAUUGUCUCUACAAUCACUACCUAGUUUGGAACACACAUUCAGCUAUGGGUAAGUUUUUUAACCUCCACAUGCCUUAAUGUCCUCAUGUAUAAGAUGAGGAUGAUAAGAAUACCUCUCUUAUAGUGUUGCAUGAAUUAAAUGAGCUGAUAGAUGUAGAGGGCUGGAAAUAGUGCUUGGCACAGAGUAAGUGCUCAGUACACAUGGCUGUCCUUUUUAUUGGAAUUAGAUCUAAUAUAUGGAUCUAAUAUAUGGAAAGUCCCUAGCAUAUUGCCUAGCAGAGUGUCAGCACCUAGUAAUAAUAAUAACUAUUAUUAUUUCCUCACCUAUAAAAUGAGAUUGUAAUAGCUCCUCUCACACAGGAUUGUUCUGAGGAUUAACUUAGAUAAUAUCAAUAUAUAUGAACUCUCUUUGUAAAACUAUACAGGACUGUUCACAUGCUUCACUAUUAACUGUGUUAUUGGGGUACUGAUUCAACACAUAUUGUGUGUUACCUGCACCUCUUAUUUGAGAUUCAGAGAUAAACAAUAUCCGUGUGUUCAAGGGGCAGAUAAGCAUGUAAGGCCUAGGAUGGGUAUAACUAUAUAUAACUAUCCCACACCAGGCAGAGGGUGACGAGCUCUCUGACUAGCACAACAAAGCGAAUGCCAUGAGGCAUCAGGGAAGGAAGGCAAGCAGAUACACUGAGGCAGAAAGAGGAGUUCAGGAAUGGCUGCAGCAAGGAUAUAGGUGCAUAAACAGAACCUGGAUGAAUGAGCAGGAUUUGGACAAGUGAGGAUAGAGGUGAGAGAAAGACAUUCCUAGUAAAGGGGUCAGAAAGAGCAAAGGCCCAAAGCAGGAAUAGAAAGGGGGUAAUUGGAGAACUGCAAGCACGUCUGUGUUCAGAGAACAAAGCCUGACAGAGAAGGGCCAGGGAGGUAAGCUAGGAGGCCAGGCACCAUAGUCCCAGGGAGCCCAAGAGGGCCCUGUGAUCCUCACUGAUGACAUGGAGCAACGAUGUGCUGGGGACCGUCUAGGGAUGAGGAUUCAUGGUCAAACUGAAGAAUCCCAUGUAGCAGAAGUGCAGACAGAAUGGAGGAAUGCUUUUGCAGGGUCAGAGCUGAAACGGCAGGAACUGGGAUGGUUUCAUAGCUCCUUCAGAGCACCUCUCAGAUUUCAUAAUUGUAUAUUUACUUUUGUGUU